Molecule: ribosomal RNA, 451 nt
Filed under: uncultured bacterium
Lineage: Bacteria
Description: partial 16S ribosomal RNA
Rfam family: Bacterial small subunit ribosomal RNA
Source: RNAcentral
GAUGAACGCUGGCGGCGUGCCUAACACAUGCAUGUCGAGCGGCAGCGAGGGGUGCUUGCACCCUGUCGGCGAGCGGCGGACGGCUGAGUAACGCGUGGGAACGUGCCCCAAAGUGAGGAAUAACUGCCCGAAAGGGUAGCUAAUACCGCAUAUUAUCUUCGGAUCAAAGGAUUUAUCCGCUUUGGGAGCGGCUCGCGUCGGAUUAGGUAGUUGGUGAGGUAAUGGCUCACCAAGCCGACGAUCCGUAGCUGGUCUGAGAGGAUGACCAGCCAGACUGGAACUGAGACACGGUCCAGACUCCUACGGGAGGCAGCAGUGAGGAAUCUUCCACAAUGGGCGAAAGCCUGAUGGAGCAACGCCGCGUGCAGGACGAAGGCCUUCGGGUUGUAAACUGCUUUUAUAAGUGAGGAAUAUGACGGUAACUUAUGAAUAAGGAUCGGCUAACUACGUG